This is a non-coding RNA of Salvelinus sp. IW2-2015, 125 nucleotides long. NCBI's taxonomy places the organism in Eukaryota, Metazoa, Chordata, Actinopteri, Salmoniformes, Salmonidae. The record is from RefSeq and is a predicted model, not a curated record.
ACUGAAGCAAGACAGACUGCAGUCUGGGGGAAACACUGCUCAAACCAUGGUCCCUGUGUGUGUGUGUGUGUGUGUGUGUGUGUGUGUGUGUGUGUGUGUAUAUAUAUGUGUGUGUGUGUGUGUCU